GAAUAAGGCAUGUGUUUGUAGUAGUUUUGUCAGUACUUUUUUAAUAGAUCAUUAGACUCCAGCAUGUGUUUGUAGUAGUUCUGUCAGUACUUGUUAAU
This is a long non-coding RNA of Limulus polyphemus (Atlantic horseshoe crab), 98 nucleotides long. RefSeq lists it as uncharacterized. The record is from RefSeq and is a predicted model, not a curated record. Lineage: Eukaryota; Metazoa; Arthropoda; Merostomata; Xiphosura; Limulidae. The transcript has 3 exons.